RNAcentral lists this ribosomal RNA (208 nucleotides) under uncultured bacterium. RNAcentral describes it as "partial 16S ribosomal RNA". It matches the Rfam family "Bacterial small subunit ribosomal RNA", at positions 568 to 774 of the family's 1533-position model. The record is from RNAcentral.
CUCGUAGGCGGUUUGGUAAGUCGGGUGUGAAAACUCUGGGCUCAACCCAGAGAGGCCACCCGAUACUGCUAUGACUAGAGUACGGUAGGGGAGCGGGGAAUUCAUGGUGUAGCGGUGAAAUGCGCAGAUAUCAUGAGGAACACCAGUGGCGAAGGCGCCGCUCUGGGCCGUAACUGACGCUGAGGAGCGAAAGCGUGGGUAGCAAACA